GCCCCCCCCCGGCACACACACACACACGCACCUUCACCCAUCUUCUCUCACCCCCCCCGCGUCAUUCUGUGCUUGCACUGUUUCAACGGAUGCAAUGCGGCGUGCACUCGCGCGGGGCCAACUGAACUGGUCGUGGAAACUGCCCCUCUCCGCGAGCAAGCGAGGAUUCGGCGCGGGGCUGGUCUCCGUGUCACCACGGCUGUGUCGCUCCCGCGUCGAGGCCCGAUGGAGCAAGGCAACAGCGCAGCAUCAGCGGACGUCAUGGCGCCCCUCGGCGACGAAGAGCUCCACCGCUACAUACGAUAUUAGCGCUUCUGUAAUGCACGGCGCUUCGGCUUCGUCGUCGCCGCAGGCAGCGGCACCAGUUGCGCUACCCCCGCUGCGCUGCCCGGGCGGACCGCGCGUUAAGGCAGAGGGCAUCAAGCAACUGUACAAAGUACCGCACGCCGGGUUCCUUGCCAAGUACGACCAGCGCUUCAUGUUAAACCUCAAGCUCACCCAUCAACUCGUCAGCUAUCUUAGUCGCACAACACUCACGACGCCGGACAAGGUGCUGGUGGAGCUGGGACCUGGCGUCGGGUCACUCACACGGAGUCUGCUGACGCGGCCUUGCGUCGGCGUCCUCGGGAUCGAAGUGGACGAACGCUUCAGCCCACACCUAGAGCAGAUCCGCAGCUACACAAGCAAUAAGUUCCAAUGGGUGACCGCCGACGUGCUCAAGGUGGACGAGCUGGAGCUGCUGAAAUCGGCCUUCCCGCAUUUUGUGAAGGCCAACAUAAGGCGUCCACCCAGUCCUGGACAGGAGACUUGGGCGGCCAACUCGGCAGCCGGCCGCUCUUCAAGCAGUGGAUCGCAGAGAGUCACCUUCACUGACGACGCCGGUGAGAACGACGCGGAUGGGUACGAGGGUGCGCCGUUGCGCUCGGCUCAACGUGAACGGCUGCUGCGUCAGCGCCGCGCGCGGCAGCCCUACCAACACAGUGACGACACCCACCGCGGAGGUGCUGAAGGAGCGGCAGACCCGGAAACAGCGGCGUCGCCUAACGCUGCCUUCGAUGUGACAAAUUACUGGUGGUCUAACGGGAAUGCGAAGGUCGAGGUGAUUGCAAACCUGCCCUUCGAGAUCAUCACCGAGCUGCUGAUGCGCUACGCAGUGGACUGCUCGCAACAUCGCGGGCUCUUCGCCUUUGGCCGUGUGCCGGUACACGUCUUCACCCAGCGCGAGGUGGCCGAACGCAUUCUGGCACCGGCUGGGUCCGUGCAGUUCAGCCGCCUUUCUGUCCUCUGCCAGUGCUUCUUUCACGUUCGCCUCAAGCAGACGUUUUUAGACCAGACUUACUACCCGCGCACAGAGGUGGAGGGCGCAAUGCUGACGCUGGAGCCGCGUUCCGUGCCACUCGCACACGGUCUCGAUGCGUCCACCCUGAUUCACUUUACCAACCUGCUCAUGAAGCCGGGACUGCGCGCCGCCACCGUGCACAAGUCGCUCUCCCGAUUUGCACCUGCGGAGUUGGUGCAUUACAUGCUGCAGGAGCUGCGAAUGGACGGCGCGAUGACAGUGCUGGACUUGUCUGUGGUCGAGGUCACCCGCUUGGCUUGCCUGUGGCAGCAGUUUGUGAUCAUGUCGCAACAGCAACCACAGCCGGAGGCCGACGGUGCCGAGGCAGAAGCUGGAAGCCGCAAGGCCAGAUCCCCAAAUGGCGCCGUGUAGUGGUCCGGCUUGUGAGCCACUGGAUCUGCCCACCGCCAGCUCUCGGUAACGGAGCGAAGUAGCGGGGGAGAGAGAGAGACGGGCACGGAAGGUGUGUGUACGAAGGCGUGGAACUCGCUCGCAUCGACGAAUGGGUGCCGGCGACUCUGUCCCUCAUCUCCUCCUCGCGUGAUGGUUGAACGCUGAGCAACAGCACCGUCGUCGUCGUCAUCGUAAUUUUUUUUUGUAAUUCUGCUGUCAUUGUCUUCGCGUUCUCGUUUCGUUUCGGGAAGAGAAGGGAAGGGAAGGGGCAGGCUCGUUGAUGUCGCCCUUUCUCGAGGAACGGGUACCUAUGCGCGUGGAGGCCAACUGAACUGUUUGCGUUUUCUCAUCUGCAGCAGCGGCAAGGACAGGGUCGCGCUGUUGGUUGCUGGCGAGCAGCACGCGCGUGAGAGGCAUGUUCGCUUCCCCGAGACUCACACGUGUGCAUCCAUGUUCCGGCAGUGCACGUGUUUCCCGUUCCCUCUUGGUCAGGGGCUGUCCUCCCUCCCUUCCUCCUAAGGCCUGGCCAGGCGAGACUCGGCAGGCCGAAGAAUGGGUGUGAAAGAGAGAGGCUUCGCGCACGCGCAUACACACACGUCCUAAGCGGCCAUGCGCAGGCUAAGCAGACACAUGUAAUGUAUGUGGAACGCAGCUUCUUAUUCGUGGACAGACAUGAACGUGUUGCGCACGCGCCUCUUCCUGUUUGCCGGAGCAGAGGUGGCAAGGGACCUGUCCAGGUUGUCGUUCGAGUAUACGAUCGCACAGCAAGCGUGUGACACGUGGUCUAGAAAGUCAAUAUCAUCUCUCAUGCUCUGCUCUCCUGCAACACCUCCAACCCACGGAUGCUGAGGCACUGGAGUUCUUCUGGUGUGAGAUUGACAUAUCUCUGCUUCAUUCCUUUUAUCAGCAGUGGGAUAAGCCAAGUAUGUAUUCGCGCUUGUGUGUGUGUGUGUGUGUGUGCAGCUCUUCACAGGU
RNAcentral lists this unclassified non-coding RNA (2707 nucleotides) under Leishmania donovani. Its description in RNAcentral is "gene:LdHU3.35.0940(CDS-product:rRNA_dimethyltrans ferase_putative)". The record is from RNAcentral. Lineage: Eukaryota; Euglenozoa; Kinetoplastea; Trypanosomatida; Trypanosomatidae.